This 440-nucleotide ribosomal RNA is filed under the name uncultured bacterium. RNAcentral describes it as "partial 16S ribosomal RNA". It matches the Rfam family "Bacterial small subunit ribosomal RNA", at positions 338 to 795 of the family's 1533-position model. The record is from RNAcentral.
CCUACGGGAGGCUGCAGUGGGGAAUAUUGCGCAAUGGGGGAAACCCUGAUGCAGCGACGCCGCGUGAUGGAAGAAGUAUUUCGGUAUGUAAACUUCUAUCAUCGGGGACGAAAUUGACGGUUCCUGGCUAAGUAGCCUCCGCUAACUACGUGCCAGCAGCCGCGGUAAUACGGAGGGGGCAAGCGUUAUCCGGAUUUACUGGGUGUAAAGGGAGCGUAGGCGGGUUAGCAAGUCAGAAGUGAAAGCCGGGGGCUCAACUCCGGGACUGCUUUUGAAACCGCUGGACUAGAUUGCAGGAGAGGUAAGUGGAAUUCCCAGUGUAGCGGUGAAAUGCGUAGAUAUUAGGAGGAACACCAGUGGCGAAGGCGGCUUACUGGACAGUAAAUGACGCUGAGGCGCGAAAGCGUGGGGAGCAAACAGGAUUAGAUACCCGUGUAGUC